Molecule: ribosomal RNA, 500 nt
Filed under: uncultured bacterium
Lineage: Bacteria
Description: partial 16S ribosomal RNA
Rfam family: Bacterial small subunit ribosomal RNA
Source: RNAcentral
GACGAACGCUGGCGGCGUGCUUAACACAUGUAAGUCGAACGGUAAGGCCCCUUCGGGGGUACACGAGUGGCGAACGGGUGAGUAACACGUGGGUGAUCUGCCCUGCACUUCGGGAUAAGCCUGGGAAACUGGGUCUAAUACCGGAUAGGACCCCUUCCUGCAUGGGCGGGGGUGGAAAGCUUUUGCGGUGUGGGAUGGGCCCGCGGCCUAUCAGCUUGUUGGUGGGGUGAUGGCCUACCAAGGCGAUGACGGGUAGCCGGCCUGAGAGGGUGUCCGGCCACACUGGGACUGAGAUACGGCCCAGACUCCUACGGGAGGCAGCAGUGGGGAAUAUUGCACAAUGGGCGCAAGCCUGAUGCAGCGACGCCGCGUGAGGGAUGACGGCCUUCGGGUUGUAAACCUCUUUCACCAGGGGCGAACGGUCACGUCAGGAAAUGGGCGUGAAUUGACGGUACCUGAGAAGGAAGCCACGGCUAACUACGUGCCAGCCGCCGCCGUAA